This 98-nucleotide microRNA precursor is filed under the name Trypanosoma congolense IL3000. Lineage: Eukaryota; Euglenozoa; Kinetoplastea; Trypanosomatida; Trypanosomatidae. The record is from RNAcentral.
GGAGGGGAGAGCAGAAGGGAAGAAGAUAAAUAAAUAAAUAAAAACGAUGUGUAUUCUUUUCUUUAUAUAUUUUUUUUCUUCCCUUCUGCUCUCCUUUU